Molecule: long non-coding RNA, 796 nt
Organism: Lutra lutra (Eurasian river otter)
Lineage: Eukaryota; Metazoa; Chordata; Mammalia; Carnivora; Mustelidae
Exons: 4
Source: RefSeq, a predicted model, not a curated record
GCCACCCCGCUGUGUGUGAAUGGGUUGUGCUGGGGAUUCGUAGCUCUGAUGCGGGGGAUUUGCUGAUUCCUUUGAGCCCCCUGAGGAGAGGUGAUAUGGAGAGCAAAUAAUCAGCAUGCAGCUUGGAGGCGAGACAGGACAAAGAGGCUUAGGAAUUCCGAACCAGCACGGGGUCCCAGACUGGAAGUGGUAACUGGAUGGCGUCAGGAGCCAAAGGGGGCAGCCAGCGUUGCACACUGAGUUGUCACCAAAUCUUGACAGAAGGACAACAAUGUGAAGGAAGAGCUUUUGGCCAGGGAAACUUGUCUCCUUGUUGUGGUUAAAUCUUGCAAAGGGUUUCUGGGCCACGUGCGUCCAGGUGAGUCACCUGUCUCAGAGGAAUGCUGCUGAUGCUGACAGAAAGCUCCACGAAUGUGGAUCCUUGUCUCACUAGUCUUAUUUUCCUUUUGGUUGUACUGGUGGGCAAAAGCACUUUUUGAACAUAAUAAAUUGCUUGAAUAAGCAGGGUUUCCCAUUUGUUUCUCAGCUUAGGCGGGGAGGCAGGUCUGGUCACAUAAAUAGGUUUCUUAGAACAACAGUUCUCACACUUUACAUGUUCCUGAUAUUUUUACUGGUAAGACCUGAAAGGAUUAAAAGAUUCAUCCAACAACAGUAAACAAGUCAACAGUCAUUACCAAUCAGUUUGAACUACAGAGAAUAGUGUUGUCUCACAUUUUAAUUUUAUUUUUUUUCAAUAUUCCCUUGAUCUCCCAGCACUGCUGUUGCUGUUUGAUAGAAAAUUUGAUUAUCCUAACUA